AUUUUAUGUUGUCCUCAUCCCUAUGGCGCUAGUGCUCAUAAAAGCAAGCGGUAGGAUGAGUUCGUUUGUAUAACUCUUAAUGAGUCCGAGACCCAAGAGGCAGGAGCUUCCUUGCUAGCAUCCUUAUUAGGACUCACCUAUAUGUGCAGUCGUGAGGCUGCGAUUAUGGAAAAUGGGCGAUUCCCUAAAAAGCACAUGAAAGAUACCUGCGCAUGGCCAUAAUAGCGC
This 228-nucleotide long non-coding RNA is filed under the name Phoenix dactylifera (date palm). RNAcentral's name for it is "long non-coding RNA (PDAC_LNC006461)". Lineage: Eukaryota; Viridiplantae; Streptophyta; Magnoliopsida; Arecales; Arecaceae. The record is from RNAcentral.